UCGUCGCUCAUCUCACCGUCGCACUUUUUCAUUGCUUCAAGUUACAAUCUCUCUUUAUUUCCGCGAUACCGAUAUAAUAUGCAGUACAAGACAAAAGAACGAAGAGAUCUUGUGGGCUCUGUCAUGGUGCUAAUUAUCAUUCUACCUUUGAAUCUGUUGAUUUGAGAAGGCAGGAGAUCGGAGCUACUGCUGGAGGGGGUUGUGUGUGCGACCAGUGUUUUGCCAUUCAAAAGCUCGCUUCUUCAACAAAAAGACUUUUCUUGGAUUCUUUCACUGCUUGACCUUCUCUGGAACUUCCCCCCGCGAUUCCUCACGAGAAGUUGUCAUGCCUUUCUACUGCUGGUUUAGAUGUAUGUGCAAUCUAGAUAAUUGGGACUGGCCAAGGAAGGGCACAGCAUUUUUUGAAAUUCCAUGCCUGAUUCUUUGGUUUCUUGGCCAAGAUGCCUUCUAUUUCAUGGUCAAAAUUUAGCUAAGAUGGUGACUUGAUUAUCAGCAGUCAGGAGACUGAAUGGAACCAAAGAGCCUGGUUUUGGUGUUGCCUUCGCAUAAUUGUUGGUGAAGCCAUUCUAUAUCAAGGGGGCAUAUUGCUAGAUGAUGUCUUCAGUAGCUGUAGGUCCUUGGUGGAAAUGAUCACAUGUUUUGACAUGUAUGGUAACUUGCGGCUUUGAGGCAAGAACUGGAGCAUUAUGUUUUCAUACGCCAGUUUUUUCAAGGGGACAAUCACCUCGUGGCACACUUCAACACACUGUAUCGACAGCUUUAGAUGGGGACUUUGGCAGUAGCUGAAAAUCAAGCUGUGCAUGACUCUGAACUCCUGGGCUAGUCAAUUGUAUCAAUGCAUGUUUUUGACUUAGUCCACUUAUUUAUAGCAAACAAUUGUAUGCGGGAUUCACCUCCAGCUUUCAUAAUUUACAAUAUUCAAAUCC
This is a long non-coding RNA of Eucalyptus grandis, 926 nucleotides long. RefSeq lists it as uncharacterized. NCBI's taxonomy places the organism in Eukaryota, Viridiplantae, Streptophyta, Magnoliopsida, Myrtales, Myrtaceae. The record is from RefSeq and is a predicted model, not a curated record. The transcript has 3 exons.